This is a non-coding RNA of Oryza glumipatula, 197 nucleotides long. Lineage: Eukaryota; Viridiplantae; Streptophyta; Magnoliopsida; Poales; Poaceae. The record is from Rfam.
UUUAAGUGUGAUCAUAAGUUUUCGCGACCAACUUUGAUCGUCCGUCUUAUUUAAAAUUUUUUUUGUAAUUAGUUUUUUUUAUGAGAUGAUAAAAUAUGAACAAUACUUUACUCCUGACUUAUGUUUUUAUUUUUUAAAAAAAAUUAAAUAAAACAGACGGUUAAAGUUAGACACGGAAAAUCAUGGCUGCAAUUGAA